GUGUUUCCAUGGUGACCCUGAAUCCCAUCAAAUUAAUAACGAGGAUUGAGCAUCACAAGUAUAGUCUCACGGAUCAUCUCAGAGAUGAUGUUCUUCACAUGAAAAUUUGCGCUCCGACCACUCUGUGCGCGAGUACCAAGAGUCUGUAGCUCUUAGUUGAGUGGAGCUGCCUCCCUUUCUACACCCAUGCUCUUGCUUUUGAUUUGUUUGUUUGGAUAAAAUGCAGCUACCAGGUCUUCCCUAGCUGGAAAUUUGUCCUAGUGUUGCCCAUCUGAGGCACUCCAACGCACUACAAGGAAGUCCAGAAGGAAAGACAACUCUGGAAUAGCGUUCCUCCGUGCGUUGUGCGGCAGGGCGCGCUGAAGGAGAGGAAGACAGAUCCCUCUGCUGAAACUCAGGUUUUCUUUUCAUAAGCUUUCUGGUAAAGUUCCCAAGAAACACACCCUAAAAGAAAUAGGAGCUUUCCUGGACCAGAGAGAUGUCAUACUCCACCCGAGUUAAGACCUAAAGGAAGUCGAUCUCCACAUUCAGCCAGCAUCCCGAGUGAGGACUUGCAAGUGGUCGUGGUGGUGAUAGCUGACACUCUCAGCACUUGGGAGGCGGAGGCAGGAGGAUCCGGAUCUGAAGAGAGAGCCAUGGAUCACAUCUCAAAACAUCAGCC
This 661-nucleotide long non-coding RNA is filed under the name Mus musculus (house mouse). RNAcentral describes it as "predicted gene, 32023". Lineage: Eukaryota; Metazoa; Chordata; Mammalia; Rodentia; Muridae. The record is from RNAcentral.